Molecule: microRNA, 21 nt
Filed under: Ophiophagus hannah (king cobra)
Lineage: Eukaryota; Metazoa; Chordata; Lepidosauria; Squamata; Elapidae
Also listed under: 1 other name
Description: oha-miR-5470
Source: miRBase by way of RNAcentral
CACAGGAUAUGAGUAACUCUU